GCAAAUAGCUUCACAAAGUUUACACGCAAUGCAUCUUUCCUCUCCAGUUGCAUAACGCCUAAGAGCAUGUUCUCCACGAAAACGAGGACUUAAAGGACCCUUCUCAAAUGGAUAGUUAAUCGUUACUUUCUUCUCAAAGAAGUACUUCAGCGUCAACAUUAAACCUCGAACCAUUUCAGUCAAAAAUAAUGUAUUGAUGCUUCGCUCAAAAACUGAAUUCCAAUCUUUUGAUAACUCCUUUGCUAGCUGCUCU
RNAcentral lists this unclassified non-coding RNA (253 nucleotides) under Hevea brasiliensis (rubber tree). The record is from RNAcentral. Lineage: Eukaryota; Viridiplantae; Streptophyta; Magnoliopsida; Malpighiales; Euphorbiaceae.